UACGUAGGGUGCAAGCGUUAAUCGGAAUUACUGGGCGUAAAGCGUGCGCAGGCGGUUUUGUAAGUCUGACGUGAAAUCCCCGGGCUCAACCUGGGAAUUGCGUUGGAGACUGCAAGGCUAGAAUCUGGCAGAGGGGGGUAGAAUUCCACGUGUAGCAGUGAAAUGCGUAGAGAUGAGGAGGAACACCGAUGGCGAAGGCAGCCCCCUGGGUCAAGAUUGACGCUCAUGCACGAAAGCGUGGGGAGCAAACAGG
RNAcentral lists this ribosomal RNA (253 nucleotides) under uncultured bacterium. Its description in RNAcentral is "partial 16S ribosomal RNA". It matches the Rfam family "Bacterial small subunit ribosomal RNA", at positions 524 to 776 of the family's 1533-position model. The record is from RNAcentral.